AACGUAGGACACAAGCGUUAUCCGGAGUUACUGGGCGUAAAGAGCGCGUAGGCGGUUUGUUAAGUCUGCUAUGAAAGCACCUGGCUAAACUGGGUGAGGCUGGCGGAUACUGGCAAGCUAGAGUGAGACAGAGGCAGAUGGAAUUCCGCGUGUAGUGGUGAAAUGCGUAGAGAUGCGGAGGAACACCAGUGGCGAAGGCGGUCUGCUGGGUCUCAACUGACGCUGAGGCGCGAAAGCGUGGGUAGCGAACGGG
Molecule: ribosomal RNA, 253 nt
Filed under: uncultured bacterium
Lineage: Bacteria
Description: partial 16S ribosomal RNA
Rfam family: Bacterial small subunit ribosomal RNA
Source: RNAcentral